UACAGAGGUCCCAAGCGUUGUUCGGAUUCACUGGGCGUAAAGGGUGCGUAGGCGGUCGGGUAAGUCUGGUGUGAAAUCUCCAAGCCUAACUUGGAAACUGCGUUGGAUACUAUCCGGCUCGAGGAAUGGAGGGGAGACUGGAAUACUUGGUGUAGCAGUGAAAUGCGUAGAUAUCAAGUGGAACACCAGUGGCGAAGGCGAGUCUCUGGACAUUUCCUGACGCUGAGGCACGAAAGCCAGGGGAGCAAACGGG
This 253-nucleotide ribosomal RNA is filed under the name uncultured bacterium. Its description in RNAcentral is "partial 16S ribosomal RNA". It matches the Rfam family "Bacterial small subunit ribosomal RNA", at positions 524 to 776 of the family's 1533-position model. The record is from RNAcentral.